Molecule: ribosomal RNA, 395 nt
Filed under: uncultured bacterium
Lineage: Bacteria
Description: partial 16S ribosomal RNA
Rfam family: Bacterial small subunit ribosomal RNA
Source: RNAcentral
AUACGUAGGGGGCAAGCGUUGUCCGGACUUACUGGGCGUAAAGCGCACGCAGGCUGACUUAUAAGUCGGUAGUCUAAUGCGGAGGCUCAACUUCCGUUUAUCUAUCGAUACUGUAAGACUAGAGUAUGUGAGAGGGAAGUGGAAUUCCCGGUGUCGCGGUGAAAUGCGUAGAUAUCGGGAGGAACACCAGUGGCGAAGGCGACUUCCUGGCACAAUACUGACGCUCAUGUGCGAAAGCUAGGGUAGCGAACGGGAUUAGAUACCCCGGUAGUCCUAGCCGUAAACGAUGGAUACUAGGUGUGGGUGUCGCAGGGCAUCCGUGCCGCAGCUAACGCGUUAAGUAUCCCGCCUGGGGACUACGGUCGCAAGACUGAAACUCAAAGGAAUUGACGGGG